GUGGGGAAUAUUGGGCAAUGGGGGAAACCCUGACCCAGCGACGCCGCGUGAGGGAAGAAGGCCUUAGGGUCGUAAACCUCUGUUGUGUGGGAAGAAGAGCGUGACGGUACCACACGAGGAAGUCCCGGCUAACUACGUGCCAGCAGCCGCGGUAAUACGUAGGGGACGAGCGUUGUCCGGAUUUACUGGGCGUAAAGGGCGCGUAGGCGGUCAUUUAAGUCAGCUGUGAAAUGGUUUGGCUUAACCGGAUCAUGCGGUUGAAACUGGAUGACUGGAGUGCUGGAGAGGCAAGUGGAAUUCCCAGUGUAGCGGUGAAAUGCGUAGAUAUUAGGAAGAACACCAGUGGCGAAGGCGACUUUCUGGACGAAAACUGACGCUGAGGCGCGAAAGCCAGGGGAGCGAACGGGAUUAGAAACCCCAGUAGUCC
This 427-nucleotide ribosomal RNA is filed under the name uncultured bacterium. RNAcentral's name for it is "partial 16S ribosomal RNA". It matches the Rfam family "Bacterial small subunit ribosomal RNA", at positions 354 to 796 of the family's 1533-position model. The record is from RNAcentral.